AAGUCGUAACAAGGUUUCCGUAGGUGAACCUGCGGAAGGAUCAUUAACACGUAUCCAACGUUAAAACCCCCCCCGUGAACUUUCAAUCCUGCUCUUGUAACCCGCGUAGUUCGCAAUCUCUGGUAAAUCAUAGACCGGAAAGUUGUUUUGAUUCAGAGACCUCUGGCUACGUGAGAACAUUGGAACAGUUACAAUCGAGAGCAGUCAGUGUCGGAAAGUGUCACUGAUUGUGCAAGGAUAGCGCUCACGAUUCCUGUAGACCGUACACUCGGGCAGGAGCUAUGCCAAAGGGUCCCCAUGCCCCCUUAUAACCCCACAGUUUAAUGUAAAGCUCAAUGUAAUACAUUGGGUAAAAAAACCGAACAACUGUUAACAAUGAAUAUCUUGGUUCUC
Molecule: unclassified non-coding RNA, 393 nt
Filed under: fungal sp.
Lineage: Eukaryota; Fungi
Description: partial internal transcribed spacer region
Rfam family: Eukaryotic small subunit ribosomal RNA (bases 1-46)
Source: RNAcentral